Molecule: non-coding RNA, 30 nt
Filed under: Mus musculus (house mouse)
Lineage: Eukaryota; Metazoa; Chordata; Mammalia; Rodentia; Muridae
Source: RNAcentral
UCACCAGCCCGCCUUGGAGUCAGCUUCUGU